GGGCGAGUAGCUCAGUGGAUAGAGCAAUAGCCUUCUAAGCUAUCGGUCGAAGGUUCGAGUCCUUUCUCGCUCGCCA
RNAcentral lists this transfer RNA (76 nucleotides) under Acholeplasmatales bacterium. RNAcentral describes it as "tRNA-Arg". It matches the Rfam family "tRNA". From Rfam's summary of the family: Transfer RNA (tRNA) molecules are approximately 80 nucleotides in length. Their secondary structure includes four short double-helical elements and three loops (D, anti-codon, and T loops). Lineage: Bacteria; Bacillati; Mycoplasmatota; Mollicutes; Acholeplasmatales. The record is from RNAcentral.